CCUACGGGAGACUGCAGUGAGGAAUAUUGGUCAAUGGACGUGAGCCUGAACCAGCCAAGUCGCGUGAAGGAUGACUGCCCUAUGGGUUGUAAACUUCUUUUAUAUGGGAAUAAAGUGUUCGACGUGUGGUAUUUUGUAUGUACCAUAUGAAUAAGGAUCGGCUAACUCCGUGCCAGCAGCCGCGGUAAUACGGAGGAUCCGAGCGUUAUCCGGAUUUAUUGGGUUUAAAGGGAGCGUAGGUGGGUUGUUAAGUCAGUUGUGAAAGUUUGCGGCUCAACCGUAAAAUUGCAAUUGAUACUGGGAGUCUUGAGUACAGUUGAGGUAGGCGGAAUUCGUGGUGUAGCGGUGAAAUGCUUAGAUAUCACGAAGAACCCCGAUUGCGAAGGCAGCUUACUAAGCUGUGACUGACAUUGAUGCUCGAAAGUGUGGGUAUCAAACAGGAUUAGAUACCCGAGUAGUC
RNAcentral lists this ribosomal RNA (460 nucleotides) under uncultured bacterium. RNAcentral's name for it is "partial 16S ribosomal RNA". It matches the Rfam family "Bacterial small subunit ribosomal RNA", at positions 338 to 795 of the family's 1533-position model. The record is from RNAcentral.